This 125-nucleotide small RNA is filed under the name Marmota monax (woodchuck). The record is from RNAcentral. Lineage: Eukaryota; Metazoa; Chordata; Mammalia; Rodentia; Sciuridae.
GCCAGGCACGGUGGUGCAUACCUGUAAUCCCAGCACCUCGAGAGGCUGAGGCAGGAGGAUUGCAGGUUCAAAGCCAGCCUCAGCAACAGUGAGGUGCUAAGCCACUUGGUGAGACCCUGUCUCUU